UACGGGGGGGGCAAGCGUUGUUCGGAAUUACUGGGCGUAAAGGGCUUGUAGGUGGCCAACUAAGUCAGACGUGAAAUCCCUCAGCUUAACUGGGGAACUGCGUCUGAUACUGGAUGGCUAGAGUUUGGGAGAGGGAUGCGGAAUUCCAGGUGUAGCGGUGAAAUGCGUAGAUAUCUGGAGGAACACCGGUGGCGAAGGCGGCAUCCUGGACCAACACUGACACUGAGGAGCGAAAGCCAGGGGAGCAAACGGG
This 253-nucleotide ribosomal RNA is filed under the name uncultured bacterium. RNAcentral's name for it is "partial 16S ribosomal RNA". It matches the Rfam family "Bacterial small subunit ribosomal RNA", at positions 524 to 776 of the family's 1533-position model. The record is from RNAcentral.